RNAcentral lists this ribosomal RNA (512 nucleotides) under uncultured bacterium. RNAcentral describes it as "bacterial SSU rRNA". It matches the Rfam family "Bacterial small subunit ribosomal RNA", at positions 28 to 502 of the family's 1533-position model. The record is from RNAcentral.
GAUGAACGCUAGCGGCAGGCUUAAUACAUGCAAGUCGAGGGGCAUCAAGGUACACGAAAGUGUAUUGUUGGCGACCGGCGGACGGGUGAGUAAUAGGUAGGUAACCUACCUCAUACUGAGGCAUAGCUGGGAGAAAUUCCAGGUAAUUCCUCAUGAGGUUAUAUGACACAUGUGAUAUAAUCAAAGGUAUCGCAAGGUACUGGUAUGAGAUGGGCUUACUGACCAUUAGCUAGUUGGUGAGAUAAGAGCUCACCAAGGCGAAGAUGGGUUUAGGGGUUUUGAGUAGAGGAGACUCCCCCACAUUGAACUGAGAUACCGGUCAGACUCCGUACGGGAGGCAGCAGGUAAGGGAAUAGUUGGGCAAGUGGGGCGGAAGCCGUGACCCAGCCAUCGCCGCGGUGAAGGAGACGGCCUUAGUGGUUACGUAACUUUCUUUACUAUGCGACUUAACUAGUAUUUACGAAGAUUAAUUCUAAUAAGAAUUGUAGCAUAGACAAAAACGCGACCGUACC